RNAcentral lists this ribosomal RNA (253 nucleotides) under uncultured bacterium. RNAcentral's name for it is "partial 16S ribosomal RNA". It matches the Rfam family "Bacterial small subunit ribosomal RNA", at positions 524 to 776 of the family's 1533-position model. The record is from RNAcentral.
UACAGAGGUCUCAAGCGUUGUUCGGAUUCAUUGGGCGUAAAGGGUGCGUAGGUGGCGCGGUAAGUCGGGUGUGAAAUCUCGGAGCUUAACUCCGAAAUUGCAUUCGAUACUGCCGUGCUUGAGGACUGGAGAGGAGACUGGAAUUUACGGUGUAGCAGUGAAAUGCGUAGAGAUCGUAAGGAAGACCAGUGGCGAAGGCGGGUCUCUGGACAGUUCCUGACACUGAGGCACGAAAGCCAGGGGAGCAAACGGG